UAUUCUCAGAGAGCAGCAUGCUGGCAUCCAAUAACACAACAGCAACAAAACCUUCGCAAAGAAAUGCCCUGUGCUACUGCUGAUGCCUCUAGAGACAUCAGUCAAGCUUCUGCCAGCUACUCUGUAAUGUUAGCUGUUCUUCUCAGUCGAGAUGCUGUCCUAGCUGCUCUCUGAUGAUGAGACAGAGCAUUCUGACCAACAGGGACUUGGAAAGGGUUCAUAUGGCUUAUCCGUCCUCCGUCACGGAAGAAAGUAAGGGCCGGAACUCAAGAUGACCACUGGAUGGUACUGCAGACCUGCAAGCUCCUAUUCCUACUUGUGUGAUCCAGUAGUGAGUCUUGGAGAGCUGCCUGCCAGGUAGAUGGGAGGUCUUACAGGGUCACCAGCUUACAAACAAGGACACAGUGACAGCAGCAGCUGCCACCACGACAGAAGGCAGC
Myodes glareolus (Bank vole) is the source of this 440-nucleotide non-coding RNA. Lineage: Eukaryota; Metazoa; Chordata; Mammalia; Rodentia; Cricetidae. The record is from RefSeq and is a predicted model, not a curated record.